AAAUCACAAGACAUGUAAGUUGUAGAGAUCCAUCCAUCAUGGAUCUUAGCAAGUUAGUGGGAGCUAUUUGCAUUUUAUAAGGAAAAAGGAUCAAAUCGUUUGAUUUCUCAUCAAGAUGUAAAUGAAUCUUUUGUUUACGAGUUUUACAAAAGAUUAGUGGGAGUUAAUCAUGUUCCUAAAAUUUAAGUAUAUAUAUGAUAUAUUAAUUUUGGAAAUGAAAAGAAUACUUCUUCGUUAAAGUUAUGACUUUAAUACAUUUAGAAUGUAUAUGGGAGAUAUAGUCUAUAUACAUGGGAUGGAAAUCUAUAAUGAUAUAUUUCAUGAUAUAAUUGG
Molecule: long non-coding RNA, 333 nt
Filed under: Malus domestica (apple)
Lineage: Eukaryota; Viridiplantae; Streptophyta; Magnoliopsida; Rosales; Rosaceae
Description: long non-coding RNA (MDOM_LNC004760)
Source: RNAcentral